AACGAACGCUGGCGGCAGGCCUAACACAUGCAAGUUGAACGCUCUAGCAAUAGAGAGUAGCGCACGGGUGCGUAACGCGUGGGAAUAUGCCCUUAGGUGCGGGACAACGUCGGGAAACUGACGCUAAUACCGCAUAAUGACUCCGGUCCAAAGAUUUAUCGCCUAGGGAUUAGCCCGCGUCUGAUUAGCUAGUUGGUGAGGUAAUGGCUCACCAAGGCUACGAUCAGUAGCUGGUCUGAGAGGAUGAUCAGCCACACUGGAACUGAGACACGGUCCAGACUCCUACGGGAGGCAGCAGUGAGGAAUAUU
Molecule: ribosomal RNA, 309 nt
Filed under: uncultured bacterium
Lineage: Bacteria
Description: bacterial SSU rRNA
Rfam family: Bacterial small subunit ribosomal RNA
Source: RNAcentral